This 94-nucleotide non-coding RNA is filed under the name Staphylococcus sp. RNAcentral describes it as "Glycine sequence". It matches the Rfam family "Glycine riboswitch aptamer". From Rfam's summary of the family: This family represents the bacterial glycine riboswitch. Glycine riboswitches usually consist of two metabolite-binding aptamers domains with similar structures in tandem. The aptamers cooperatively bind glycine to regulate the expression of downstream genes. RNAcentral also lists the same sequence under 1 other name. The record is from RNAcentral. Lineage: Bacteria; Bacillati; Bacillota; Bacilli; Caryophanales; Staphylococcaceae.
ACGAUCAAUAUUAGAGAGCAUGGCAUGGGCCAUCGCCGAAGGAGCAAGUAACUUGGAUUACGAAUCUCUCAGGCAAAAGGAUAAUAUUGUGACG